This 518-nucleotide long non-coding RNA is filed under the name Olea europaea subsp. europaea. The record is from RNAcentral. Lineage: Eukaryota; Viridiplantae; Streptophyta; Magnoliopsida; Lamiales; Oleaceae.
CUGAAUUUGAAUAUGUGAAUUCUUUUUGAGAAAACAGAUCUUGAUGGUGAUGAGGAUUAAUCUUGACUGCAAUGCUUGUUGCAGAAAAAUGAGAAGAAUCCUUCUCAAAAUGAAAGGUGACUUAUGUUAGUGAAUAUUUUCUUCUGAUUGCCAGUUAAUAACUCGAUACUUAUCUAUUCUCUUUUUCAUUGCAUUGUUCGAAGAAAUUGAGACGCACUUGAUAGAGAAGCAAUAUUGCAGGGUAAGCGUCUGUGGAAGGUUCAUUCCAGCAGAUGUAGCGAUAAAAAUAAGGAAGAAGAUGAAGCGUAGGGUCGAGAUUCUGGACAUUCAAGAAUACAGCAAUAUGGAAUGACAUACAGAACAAAUGCAAGUCCAAAUCCCAGGCCAUGUCCUAACACAGCAUGCAUAGAAUUUUCUGAACUUAUAAUUCCAUUAAACAAAAUUGUGCACAUAUUCCAAGACAGAAUGACAGAAAGAGACACUGACUGAUCCAUUAGUUUCCAAAAUAUAGUUGUAAA